GAUGAACGCUGGCGGCGUGCCUAAUACAUGCAAGUCGAGCGAACAGACGAGGAGCUUGCUCCUCUGACGUUAGCGGCGGACGGGUGAGUAACACGUGGAUAACCUACCUAUAAGACUGGGAUAACUUCGGGAAACCGGAGCUAAUACCGGAUAAUAUAUUGAACCGCAUGGUUCAAUAGUGAAAGACGGUUUUGCUGUCACUUAUAGAUGGAUCCGCGCCGCAUUAGCUAGUUGGUAAGGUAACGGCUUACCAAGGCAACGAUGCGUAGCCGACCUGAGAGGGUGAUCGGCCACACUGGAACUGAGACACGGUCCAGACUCCUACGGGAGGCAGCAGUAGGGAAUCUUCCGCAAUGGGCGAAAGCUUGACGGAGCAACGCCGCGUGAGUGAUGAAGGUCUUCGGAUCGUAAAACUCUGUUAUUAGGGAAGAACAAAUGUGUAAGUAACUAUGCACGUCUUGACGGUACCUAAUCAGAAAGCAACGGCUAACUACGUG
RNAcentral lists this ribosomal RNA (497 nucleotides) under uncultured bacterium. Its description in RNAcentral is "partial 16S ribosomal RNA". It matches the Rfam family "Bacterial small subunit ribosomal RNA", at positions 28 to 507 of the family's 1533-position model. The record is from RNAcentral.